UUUGGCAGCACAUAUACUAAAUUGUGCUAAAAUUGGAACGAUACAGAGAAGAUUAGCAUGGCCCCUGCACAAGGAUUACAUGCAAAUUCGUGAAGUGUUCCAUAUAUUU
This is a small nuclear RNA of Vicugna pacos (alpaca), 109 nucleotides long. NCBI's taxonomy places the organism in Eukaryota, Metazoa, Chordata, Mammalia, Artiodactyla, Camelidae. The record is from RefSeq and is a predicted model, not a curated record.